This 270-nucleotide ribosomal RNA is filed under the name uncultured bacterium. RNAcentral describes it as "partial 16S ribosomal RNA". It matches the Rfam family "Bacterial small subunit ribosomal RNA", at positions 524 to 794 of the family's 1533-position model. The record is from RNAcentral.
UACGUAGGGUGCGAGCGUUAAUCGGAAUUACUGGGCGUAAAGCGUGCGCAGGCGGUUUUUUAAGCCAGAUGUGAAAUCCCCGGGCUCAACCUGGGAACUGCAUUUGGAACUGGAAGACUAGAGUGUAGCAGAGGGGGGUAGAAUUCCACGUGUAGCAGUGAAAUGCGUAGAUAUGCGGAGGAACACCGAUGGCGAAGGCAAUCCCUGGGCCUGCACUGACGCUCAUGCACGAAAGCGUGGGGAGCAAACAGGAUUAGAUACCCUAGUAGU